AUGCAUGAGACACCUAGUUUCCAACUUCAAAUUGAAAUUUCAUAGCAAGGUUUUUGAUGAUCAUAUGUGGCCAGCUGCAUAUGCAUGGACAGAGCAAUCUUAUUCCUACCACAUGAGAUCAAUUGAGGCUGCUAAACCAGAGGCAAUGAUAUAUUUAAAAACACAUCACCCAAGGUUAUGGUCUAGAAGCAUGUUCUCAUGUGCAUCAAAGGUUGAUUAUGUGACCAACAACCUUGCUGAAAGCUUUAAUAAUUAGAUCAAUAAGCACAAAGGACUCAUGAUUUAUGAGUUGAUGGACAAGAUAAGAAAAAAGACUAUGAAAAUGUUCCAACGACAAAAGAAGGUUGCGAACAAGCUACUAGGACAAAGUAUACUCCCAAGUGUCAUGAGUGAGUUUAAUGCUAAAUCAAGGGACCUAGACCUAGAGGUUGAUAGAAGUGAUGACUUAGAAGCUAAAGUUACCGACAAAUCUCCUGGUGGGAAGAGACAUGUGGUAAACUUGGAGGAAAGAACAUGCACCUGUAGAGAAUGGCAAGUUUCUGGAAAGCCAUGUAUACAUGCAUUGGCAUUCAUUACGUCGGUGAAGGGUUUGCAUAUAGACUCAUUUGUGCAUGAAUGUUAUAGUGUAGCCAAGUUUGUAGCUGCAUAUGCCCCACGCAUCCUUGGUCUUACUGACAUGUCUCAAUGGCCAACAAGUAGACAUGGCUUCUUUCUUUAUCCACCAAUACUAAGGAGAAGUGCAGGGAGACCUAGGAAUAGAAGGUGCAAGGGUGGAGCUGAAGGGAAAGGCUCUAGUAAACGUAGGUCAGGGAGCCAAAAAUGUCCUAUUUGUCACAACUUUGGUCACAGAUGGUAGACAUGCAAAGAAGCUGAUCCAGAUGCUAAGGAAGCAUAUGCUAUUUCAGCAAAACAAAGACAAAACAGGAAGUAAGCAACACCAUCAGCUUCAAGUAGUUGUGUUGGCAAUGCCUAUCACCCGCAUCUUUGCAUGGCCCACCAAGCUCAACUGGACCAAAUCAACCACCAGUGAUAUCUGCCCCCUUUCCUGAAAUAGAAGAAAGCACUCCAUCUCCUAAGGGAAGAGCCAAGGGGAAGACUAACCCUAAACCGGUAGCACAAGACAGUCCUUCUAUGUCAACUAGAAGCAAGAAGAAAUUGUCAUCAACUAGUCCAUCCAUGUCAACUAGAAGCAAAAAGAAAUUAAUAGCUUAAUGUACUUGUCUGUGGUUUCUGGUCAUGUAAAAUGUUUUUUAACUUUUAAACUACUUAAGAUCCACUUUUAGCUCUGGUAAUGUUGAAUUUGGUUGUGUUGAACUUGGAGCUCCGGUAAUGUUGAAUUUGGUUGUGUUGAACUUGGA
Oryza brachyantha (malo sina) is the source of this 1358-nucleotide long non-coding RNA. RefSeq lists it as uncharacterized. The transcript has 5 exons. The record is from RefSeq and is a predicted model, not a curated record. NCBI's taxonomy places the organism in Eukaryota, Viridiplantae, Streptophyta, Magnoliopsida, Poales, Poaceae.